CCCCUCUCAGGGUCACACUUGGAGAGUUUCUAGUACUCUACCAGCCAUGGCUACAGGAGGGAGAAUCAAGCAGGGGCCUACCCAUUCCAUUCCUAGCUUGGGCAGUGGCCAGCGAGUGGAAGGCAAUCUGCUGCAAUC
Small nucleolar RNA from Tachyglossus aculeatus (Australian echidna), 138 nucleotides. NCBI's taxonomy places the organism in Eukaryota, Metazoa, Chordata, Mammalia, Monotremata, Tachyglossidae. The record is from RefSeq and is a predicted model, not a curated record.